GAGUUUGAUCGUGGCUCAGAACGAACGCUGGCGGCAGGCCUAACACAUGCAAGUCGAGCGCUUCACUUCGGUGAGGAGCGGCGAACGGGUUAGUAACGCGUGGGAACGUACCCAAAGGUAGGGAAUAGCCACUGGAAACGGUGAGUAAUGCCCUAUGUGCCCUUGGGGAAAGAUUAUCGCCUUUGGAUCGGCCCGCGUUAGAUUAGGUAGUUGGUGGGGUAAUGGCCUACCAAGCCUACGAUCUAUAGCUGGUUUGAGAGGAUGAUCAGCAACACUGGGACUGAGACACGGCCCAAACUCCUACGGGAGGCAGCAGUGGGGAAUCUUAGACAAUGGGCGAAAGCCUGAUCUAGCCAUGCCGCGUGAGUGAUGAAGGCCUUAGGGUCGUAAAGCUCUUUCGCCAGGGAUGAUAAUGA
This 416-nucleotide ribosomal RNA is filed under the name uncultured microorganism. RNAcentral describes it as "bacterial SSU rRNA". It matches the Rfam family "Bacterial small subunit ribosomal RNA", at positions 9 to 454 of the family's 1533-position model. The record is from RNAcentral.